This 253-nucleotide ribosomal RNA is filed under the name uncultured bacterium. RNAcentral's name for it is "partial 16S ribosomal RNA". It matches the Rfam family "Bacterial small subunit ribosomal RNA", at positions 524 to 776 of the family's 1533-position model. The record is from RNAcentral.
UACGUAGGGUGCGAGCGUUAAUCGGAAUUACUGGGCGUAAAGCGUGCGCAGGCGGUUAUGCAAGACAGAUGUGAAAUCCCCGGGCUCAACCUGGGAAUUGCAUUUGUGACUGCACGGCUAGAGUGUGUCAGAGGGGGGUAGAAUUCCACGUGUAGCAGUGAAAUGCGUAGAGAUGUGGAGGAAUACCGAUGGCGAAGGCAGCCCCCUGGGAUAACACUGACGCUCAUGCACGAAAGCGUGGGGAGCAAACGGG